This 1495-nucleotide long non-coding RNA is filed under the name Anas platyrhynchos platyrhynchos (common mallard). RNAcentral's name for it is "lncRNA (ENSAPLG00000018939.1)". Lineage: Eukaryota; Metazoa; Chordata; Aves; Anseriformes; Anatidae. The record is from RNAcentral.
UUUUACGUCGUUUGAACAAAGAGUUGUUCCUGGCCAAAUAUGCCACCUUGAAUUUGUGGUGCUAAGCUGCCAGUCCAGAAGAGUCUGAAGGCUGUUGAAUUGGCUCUCUAUAGGCACAGAAUCCUAACAGCUGUGUGAUAGUCAUCCUACAACAACAGGAGACUCUUGCUGAAUCCUUUUUUUUUUGCCGUUGGAGGGCUUCUGUAUUUCACCUUCCUCUCUUUCCCAUCUAUUUCUGUAGGUUUCUAUUGCCUGGAGGGCUCUGAGGUGCCCACACCAUGUCCUUCCAAUACUAUCAGAGAUGUUCCAGGGGCUGGGCGGAAAGAAGACUGCCUGCCCUGUCCACCCGGCCGCUGGUGCAAAGCAGGGGACUCAGAGGCUUAUCCAUGUCCCUCAGGACACUAUUGCCUUGGAGGUAACGUCAGUGACCAAAGCAGUCUCCUGGCACCUCAGAAAUGCCCUCCACACACUUACCGCAAACACCCUGGAGCUCAGAGUGUGGCAGAUUGCCAGCCGUGUCCUCCGGGCUAUCACUGCCCUUUAUCAGGUAAGUGCCAGAUGAAAGCCCACCCUCUCCCACCACUGGAGCUGAUUACAAAACUCCCCAAGACGAGAUAGGGAAGGGGAGAGGUUAGUUCAUGUUCACAGUGAGCUUAGAGCUCUUCUCUAAAACACCUCCCGGCCAUUCAGCCUCCUUUUCUUCAUUCUUUUCUCUUCCCAACAGGUCUGACCAGGUUUGAGGAUUAUCCAUGCCCCCUGGGAUACUGGUGCCCUGGUAAAGGGGACGCUUUCCUUUGUCCACCUGGUACUUCCAGGAGCCAGCCUGGUGCAAAAUCACUGGAAGAGUGCGAUCCCUGCUCACCUGGAUACUAUUGCCCAGACCCAGCACACACAGGGCUACCUAACAGCCAAGGAGUACCUUGUAAACCUGGCUUUGAAUGCCCAGCAGGUUCAGUGAAUCCAAAGCCUUGCAGGCCUGGCUCAUACUGUGGUGCUCACACAGCCGUGCCUUCCAUGUGCCCUGCUGGAUAUUUCUGUCCUGAAGGCUCAUCAACCUACAAUAGCCCUGAGCAGCUGUGUGUGUUUCCCUACUACUGCCCCCCAGGCAGUGCCCAUCCACUGCCUUGUGAAGGAGGAUUCAUGGCCCUCAGCUUGCCUGGUCCAAGGGAUUCAUUUGAGAAAUUCUGCAGAAUCUGUGACGCAGGCAGCUAUCGGAACGUCUCUGCCAGCGCUGCCCCCUGUCAGCCCUGCCCAGCAGGCUUCAUCUGCCCACAAGGUAAAUGGGGCUGCUAAGAAGUAGUACAAGUAGUUUGAAUUGUAAGUAGAAAGCUCUAAGUUUUGAUGGGCAAAGCUCUUGAUCCUCUACAGUUUUACAUCCCUGGUGUGGGUGAAGGGGAUGAUCUUUUUCCUCCAAUUCUGUGACUCAGCUGCGAGACCAGGAAUUAAGAUAUUAUCAGAAGUGUGAACCUAGGUGUUCAAGCCUUGCGGUGUGACA